AAAAUUUAAACCCAGACCCGAAAUAGACCCUAAACCCGACGUAAACAAAUCCCCAAACCCGUCAACUAACCUAAAUGGAUCCUAACUUGGACCCAAUUGGCUAAACCCGGAUCACCAGGUCCAAAAUGCAACCGAAUGCCCCUAGCCCAAAACCAAAAAGAAUAGGAAACCCCUAGGGUUUCGGAAAUGGCACGAGCGCCGCAACAGUGACCUCCAACACUGCUCUCCCCAGCCACGCACACCUCCGUACGUGCCACGUCCACGCCUCCGUACACACUACGUCCC
RNAcentral lists this long non-coding RNA (285 nucleotides) under Gossypium barbadense (sea-island cotton). Its description in RNAcentral is "long non-coding RNA (GBAR_LNC013484)". The record is from RNAcentral. Lineage: Eukaryota; Viridiplantae; Streptophyta; Magnoliopsida; Malvales; Malvaceae.